CUCCCUGCCAGGGAAAAGACACCAGCAAUUAAGCGUGGGUGCUGUGGGUUUUUCCAGUUGUCUGGCCAUAUUCCAGCAGCAUUUUCUUCUGACGUUUGGCCUGAAUCUGUGGCUAAUGACAUCCUCAGAGGUUCUGUUGGCAGUGAGGCAAGUGGAGUCAGAGGCGGUUCAACCGUGAGGCGAACCAGGCACUUCUCUAGGCCCACACCUAUGGCAGGCAUCCUCAGAGGUUCUGAGUUCUGUUGGAAGCUAGAACCUCUGAAGAUGCCGUUUAACCACAGACGCAGGCGAAACAUCAGGAGAGAAUGCUACUGGAACAUGGCUAGUGAUUUAGCCCCAUCUCAGCGCCAUAGCCCUUCCUGUUCUACCUGGCCAGCUUGGCGUAACGCCGCACGUACUCCCCUCCCAGCGGCUCGGCCAGACUCAGCGUCUCCUCGGUACUUUUCCCGAUGAAAUCGAAGGCUUCGGGGAGGAAGACGGCGCAGGCCCCGCGACCGGACGCUUCCCGCACGAAACGGGAGCACGAGGCCCAGUUGCGCUCCUUGUCCGGAGUGGAGGUCACUUGGCAGACCGCAACGAGCGGCUUGGAGGCCAUGAGAUGGACUCUGCGGAAGAGAUCGGGCCUACACUGUGGAAUUAAUGUGGUUUGCGUGUUUCCAUCUGGCACUGCGUUGGACUGGAUGGCCUUUGGGGUCACUUUCAACUCUAGGAUCCUAUUCAUUCAUUUAGUCAUUCAUUCUUCAAAUGUAAUUUAUUCCAAUUGGACUCCAGCCGAAGGUUUAUUGACCGGAAGGAAGGCUACUAACUGACUGACAUUCAUUCGUGGUGGGUUUCUGCCUGGGUUUGGGUUGGACUGGAUGGCCUUUGGGGUCCCUUCCAACUCUAGGAUCCUAUAAUUUAUUCAUUGUGUGUUUUUCCCUAGCAUUGGGUUGGACUAGAUGGCCUUUGGGGUCCCUCCCAUCUCCAGGAUUCUAUUAUUCAUCCAUUCGUUCAUGGUGUGUUUCUGCCUGGCUUUGGGUUGGACUGGAUGGCCUUUGGGGUCGCUUCCAACUCUAGGAUCCUAUUCAUUCAUUCAGUCAUUCAUUCUUCAAAUGUAAUUUAUUCCAAUUGGACUCCAGCCGAAAGUUUAUUGACCGAAAGGAAGGCUACUAACUGACUGACAUUCAUUCGUGGUGGGUUUCUGCCUGGGUUUGGGUUGGACUGGAUGGCCUUUGGGGUCCCUCCCAUCUCUAGGAUCCUAUAAUUUAUUCAUUGUGUGUUUUUCCCUAGCAUUGGGUUGGACUGGAUGGCCUUUGGGGUCCCUCCCAUCUCUAGGAUCCUAUAAUUUAUUCAUUGUAUGUUUUUCCCUAGCAUUGGGUUGGACUGGAUGGCCUUUGGGGUCCCUUCCAACUCUAGGAUCCUAUAAUUUAUUCAUUGUGUGUUUUUCCCUAGCAUUGGGUUGGACUGGAUGGCCUUUGGGGUCCCUCCCAUCUCUAGGAUCCUAUAAUUUAUUCAUUGUAUGUUUUUCCCUAGCAUUGGGUUGGACUGGAUGGCCUUUGGGGUCCCUUCCAACUCUAGGAUCCUAUAAUUUAUUCAUUGUAUGUUUUUCCCUAGCAUUGGGUUGGACUGGAUGGCCUUUGGGGUCCCUUCCAACUCUAGGAUCCUAUAAUUUAUUCAUUGUGUGUUUUUCCCUAGCAUUUUAUUUAUUUAUUUACUACCUUUAUAUCCCGCUCUUCUCACCCCGAAGGGGAUUCAGAGCGGCUUACAAAUCAAAUGAACAUACAAUAUAUUAUUAGCACAGCACAAUAUAAGCAUUAAAUUACUAUAUUGUACUAUA
Long non-coding RNA from Anolis carolinensis (green anole), 1816 nucleotides. RefSeq lists it as uncharacterized. The transcript has 2 exons. Lineage: Eukaryota; Metazoa; Chordata; Lepidosauria; Squamata; Anolidae. The record is from RefSeq and is a predicted model, not a curated record.